RNAcentral lists this unclassified non-coding RNA (347 nucleotides) under soil metagenome. RNAcentral's name for it is "partial contains 5.8S ribosomal RNA, internal transcribed spacer 2, and large subunit ribosomal RNA". The stretch from base 1 to 120 matches the Rfam family "5.8S ribosomal RNA", at positions 35 to 154 of the family's 154-position model. The record is from RNAcentral.
GAUGAAGAACGUAGCGAAAUGCGAUAAGUAAUGUGAAUUGCAGAAUUCAGUGAAUCAUCGAGUCUUUGAACGCACAUUGCGCCCCCUGGUAUUCCGGGGGGCAUGCCUGUCCGAGCGUCAUUGCUGCCCUCAAGCACGGCUUGUGUGUUGGGCCCCGUCCUCCGAUCCCGGGGGACGGGCCCGAAAGGCAGCGGCGGCACCGCGUCCGGUCCUCGAGCAUAUGGGGCUUUGUCACCCGCUCUGUAGGCCCGGCCGGCGCUUGCCGAUCAACCCAAAUUUUUUAUCCAGGUUGACCUCGGAUCAGGUAGGGAUACCCGCUGAACUUAAGCAUAUCAAUAAGCGGAGGA